This 869-nucleotide ribosomal RNA is filed under the name Sarcocystis tenella. RNAcentral's name for it is "SSU rRNA". It matches the Rfam family "Eukaryotic small subunit ribosomal RNA", at positions 141 to 959 of the family's 1831-position model. Lineage: Eukaryota; Apicomplexa; Conoidasida; Eucoccidiorida; Sarcocystidae. The record is from RNAcentral.
GGAUAACCGUGGUAAUUCUAUGGCUAAUACAUGCGCAAGUAUCCUUUUUCGCAAGGAAGAGGAUAGUGUUUAUUAGAUACAGAACCAAUACACCAGUGUCACAGCUGGUGUGAAAAAGGUGAUUCAUAGUAACCGAACGGAUCGCAUUAUGGUCAUUCUUUUGUAAUGGCUGGCGAUAGAUCAUUCAAGUUUCUGACCUAUCAGCUUUCGACGGUAGUGUAUUGGACUACCGUGGCAGUGACGGGUAACGGGGAAUUAGGGUUCGAUUCCGGAGAGGGAGCCUGAGAAACGGCUACCACAUCUAAGGAAGGCAGCAGGCGCGCAAAUUACCCAAUCCUGACUCAGGGAGGUAGUGACAAGAAAUAACAACACUGGAAAUUUUAUUUCUAGUGAUUGGAAUGAUGGGAAUUUAAACCCCUUUCAGAGUAACAAUUGGAGGGCAAGUCUGGUGCCAGCAGCCGCGGUAAUUCCAGCUCCAAUAGCGUAUAUUAAAGUUGUUGCAGUUAAAAAGCUCGUAGUUGGAUGUCUGCUGGAAGCAAUCAGUCCGCCCUAUUUGUAGGGUGUGCACUUGAUGAAUUCUGGCAUUUUUGUCCCAAUGAUGUAACGGAGCGGUGGUAUUCGGUGAAAGCCGAGUAUCCCGUUUUCCGAUUAUUGGGAUACUGUUACUUUGAGAAAAUUAGAGUGUUUGAAGCAGGCUAAUUGCCUUGAAUACUGCAGCAUGGAAUAACAAUAUAGGAUUUCGGUUCUAUUUUGUUGGUUUCUAGGACUGAAUUAAUGAUUAAUAGGGACAGUUGGGGGCAUUCGUAUUUAACUGUCAGAGGUGAAAUUCUUAGAUUUGUUAAAGACGAACUACUGCGAAAGCAUUUGCC